Molecule: ribosomal RNA, 301 nt
Filed under: uncultured bacterium
Lineage: Bacteria
Description: partial 16S ribosomal RNA
Rfam family: Bacterial small subunit ribosomal RNA
Source: RNAcentral
CAGUCGCCACGGUAACACCGAGGGUGCGAGCGUUAAUCGGAUUUACUGGGCGUAAAGCGUGCGUAGGCGGCUUUUUAAGUCGGAUGUGAAAUCCCUGAGCUUAACUUAGGAAUUGCAUUCGAUACUGGGAAGCUAGAGUAUGGGAGAGGAUGGUAGAAUUCCAGGUGUAGCGGUGAAAUGCGUAGAGAUCUGGAGGAAUACCGAUGGCGAAGGCAGCCAUCUGGCCUAAUACUGACGCUGAGGUACGAAAGCAUGGGGAGCAAACAGGAUUAGAUACCCCCGUAGUCCCUGUCUCUUAUAC